UACGAAGGGUGCAAGCGUUACUCGGAAUUACUGGGCGUAAAGCGUGCGCAGGCGGUUUUGUAAGCCGGAUGUGAAAUCCCCGGGCUUAACCUGGGAAUGGCAUUCGGGACUGCAAGGCUGGAGUGCGGCAGAGGAGACUGGAAUUCCCGGUGUAGCAGUGAAAUGCGUAGAGAUCGGGAGGAACAUCAGUUGCGAAGGCGGCUCUCUGGACCAGCACUGACACUGAGGCACGAAAGCGUGGGGAGCAAACAGG
This 253-nucleotide ribosomal RNA is filed under the name uncultured bacterium. RNAcentral describes it as "partial 16S ribosomal RNA". It matches the Rfam family "Bacterial small subunit ribosomal RNA", at positions 524 to 776 of the family's 1533-position model. The record is from RNAcentral.